CAAUCGGCCCUUUUCAGGGCCACCAAACAUUCUGUAAUUACUGGUGU
Molecule: non-coding RNA, 47 nt
Organism: Trachymyrmex cornetzi
Lineage: Eukaryota; Metazoa; Arthropoda; Insecta; Hymenoptera; Formicidae
Source: Rfam